CACCACACCUUGAGUCUACCUCUAACAUCCGUUUUAGAGGUUCACGACACAACCCAAUCCAUAAUUCUUUCGCCACAAAAUCACAAGUCCUCGUCUCUCACGAGCCUUAGCCUCUACGGUUUCACUAUCCUAGGGUCUCCUAGGUCCGUCUAAACCAUUUUCCCAUUUUCUACUUUAUGCUCAGGCACCACUUCCUGUCACGACCCGCGACCACCCGCCUAUUUGGCCGGGGUCGCGGCGCCGACAACAGCGCCGAACGGACCGGGGAUUCCCCUGUACCUCGGACAGAGUCUCCCCUGUACGUUCAAGGCAUCGCAAUCAAUACAAUACAAAGGUUCCAACUAGGAACCGAUAUCAAUCCAGAUUGCAUAGUGGAACGUAUCAACAACAUAACACAUCCUAAAUUAUUACACGCAUCCACAUUCUUACACUUUUACAUUACCAUUCUCAUUUACAUUAAACUUCCAAAUACAAUCUUCGCUAUUACAGUUUUAUUUACAAUUUUGAUACAUUGGAUCUUUUCAUCUCUAUACCCCUAAGCUAUGUCGACGGGGUACUUCUAUCUCUGGUCUUUGGAGUAGGACACUAUCUACAGAGCUACGCCCUCGCCUCGCGCCGCCGCGCCGCUCACGUGCGAACCUGUAACACCCCAAAGCAACGUGGGGUGAGAACCAACUCCAUGGUUCCCAGUGGGUACGGCCACCCAAGGGAAAAGCUCAACCAACAUGUUUAAAGGAGGCAAACUGCAGGUUAGUUUAAUAAACAGAUCGAUAUAUAUCUUUAUUAUGCAACCACGAUACCAUGCUUUGCCUCACAAAUGCAACAAUGCUAUACUGUAUACAAUUCAUGCAAGAAUGCAAUUACCACUAGUAGAUCACCCGAUGCUACUUUCUAUCGCAUCACACUACCCUCUAAAGUUUACAUCUACCUUAUUCACUAGGCUAACCUGCCUAAGAUCUCAAUCUCACAGGUGAGGAUCAGCUCACUCACCCAACUCACAAUCUAAUCUCAACGGGGAGGAUCCGCUCACUCGCCCGACUCACAAUCUAAUCUCAACGGGGAGGAUCUGCUCACUCGCCCGACUCACAAUCUAAACACUUCGGGGAGGAUCCGCUCACUCGCCUAACUCACAUUCUAAACACUUCGGGGAGGAUCCGCUCCCUCGCCCGACUCACAUUCUAAACACUUCGGGGAGGAUCCGCUCACUCGCCGGACUCACACAAAUAUCACAACCCAAUCUGAAUCUCACAGGUGAGGAUCAGCUCACUCACCUGACUCACAAAGGGAGGAUCAGCUCACUCGCCCAAGACUAUCUGCGGGACCCUAACGGCUAUCCCUCGGGACCCAAACGGCUAUCCCUAUCGUGUGACAACUCCGGAGUGCACUGCUUGUGUGGAGCGACCACCCCAAGCUUCGAACAGACAUAUGAGUAUGAUCAAAUCCCCGUCACUGAGGAUACCCUACCACUCUAGACAACAUCUCUCGGGAACUAGUUCAUCCCUAAGUUCAAUGCCAUAACUGUCAACUUUACACUAUGUUUAAUGCCACACACCUAGGUCUAAUCAACUCUAGGUUCAACACCCUUAUCACAUAACCUAGGUUUAACUAACUCUAGGUUCAAUCCCAACCUAUGUUCUUUAAACUAGGUCCAAUGUCAUUCUACCUAGAUCUUGAUUCUAGGUUCACUUGUUCAACCUAUGUUCGCGACACUAGGUUCAACACAACCUAUGUUAUAUAACACUAAGUACAAUGCCACUCGAUCUAUUCGACACCUAAUUGUCCACAUCGAGUUUGUAGCCACAUAUUCUCAGUACAAUGCCACUCGAUCUAUUCGACACCUAAUUGUCCACAUCGAGUUUGUAGCCACAUAUUCUCAGUACAAUGCCACUCGAUCUAUUCGACACCUAAUUGUCCACAUCGAGUUUGUAGCCACAUAUUCUCAUACACAUGCCUACAAUGUCAUCGUAUAUGUUCUUUCUAAUAUGAUCUACAACAUGUCAUCAUUUACUUACAUGCUCUAUUGCACAUCAGCAUGAAACUAGCACUAGCAUAUAUUUUCAUAAUGUUAAUAUGCCAUACUAACUAGCAUGUAUUUACAUACCAUUAUGCAUUUUAUCCAACAUGAUCUCAUAAUGCUAAUUGCACCUAGCAUUUAUCCCACUAUGCAUAUAUAUACUACACGCAAUCAUGCAUUUCAUUAAGCAUUUCUAAUCUAUGCCAUUAUAAUUUACCAUCUAGCAUGUAUUUUCAAUGCAUCUAUAUGCAAGCAUCAACUAGCAUAACUCUCACAAUGCUAAUAUGCUUAUACAUAUGCAUCAACCAUAACUCAUAGUCUACUUUGACAUGCAGGCGACCUAGUUGCUUCGGUAAGCACAACCCACCUGUCAUCGCGUUCCGAUUGCUCGUAGCCACUUGCAAUCGGCCGCCCGCGACACGCGCUGUCCGACUCGGCCCGAUAUUGCAACCGCGCCUCAACUGUGUUCCACUUCGCAGCCCCGGAAAUUAUAGGUCUUCGGUUUGAUGCCACGAUGCCACAAAUCCAUUUCCACGACUUUACGACGUUGCCUCGGCCCUCCAGGCGGAAACGAAGCUAAAUCGUCAGUUUCUUCAAUAUCUUUGCACCGGCUCGACGAAUCGACGAACCGUCGCUUCCUAUGCGUUCGGACACCUAGCAAUUAGGUUUACAGAGGGUCAAAAGAGAUCAAACCCUCAUAUUUCCAAAAACCUCAUUUCGGAGCCCUAGUUUGCAACUACGGCAAAAAUCACCAAAUCCCUUCAUGAAUCAAGCGUCAUUCAUCUAGAUAGCAAGCUAGGAUUCCUCUAAAUCCAUUCAUAGGGUGUUUAAACCAAACCCUACAAAUCUACCAUUGAUGAGCAAGGAGCUUACCUCCAAAGGCUCUCCAAAAGCAAUGGAAGAAGAAGAUGAUGAUGGUGAUCCUUCCAAGCUUCUUCUCCAACUCCUUUCUCUUCUUCUUCUCCUUCCUCUUCUUUUUCUUCUCUUUCUUUUCUCUCUAGAGAGAGAGAGGGACACGUUUGGGGGUUAAAUGGGUGAGGGAGAAGAGAGAAGGACCUAAUUCCCCUUCUAUACACUCUCAUAAGUGCAAAAUUGCACAAAAGACCCUCAACUUUCACUUAGUGCACUGCCCCCUUGCGGGGGCAUUUUUUGUAUAGAGGACCGGUCCUUGGACUUGAGGGACUGGUCCCCGAAAGUCCAGAAUCUCAGCAUUUUAGGACUUAGCCAAAUUUUCAGCUUUUUCACCGUUUCUUCUCCGUUUUCGCUCGUUUUUGCUUAUUUGACCUCCGAUUCUUUUCAAAUCGAGCCGAGAUUCCUCAAACAUGUUUUCGAGCAUGUUUUCAUCAUCUUUUCAUCCAUGCUAAUGCAGGAUUUAGCUCAUGACCCAACAUAGCCUUUCCGGUUCCGUUUCCGCGCCUACGCGCACUGAAUCGCCCGAAUGCUCCCGAACUUCACCGAACUUCUCCGGAACCUUUCAAAUGGCUCUCCAAUCAAAUGUACACCGUAACUUCAUGAUUUUAGAAGUCCGGUACCUUACAAUUGCUAUCUCGGUCUCAGUGGUAGGGCGCUAUCUAUGGAGCUACUCCCUUUCCUCGCGCCGCCGCGCCGCUUGCGUGCGAACCUGAAACCCCAAAACCACGUGGGAUGAGAACUAUAUAAAUAUAGUUCCCAGUGGGUACAGCCACCCAAGGGAAGAGCUCGACCCAUCAGGUCCAAAGGAGGCACUGUAACAUGUUAGUCCAACAGAUAAUCACAAAUAAUUUAUGCAGAUAAUAUUUACAUGUAUACCUCAAGAUAUGCAAUAUGCAGAUUAUGCGACUACAUAACAGUAGAUCUACAGAUUCUACUUUCUAUCUCGCUAUCCAUAGCUCAUAUCACACAAGCUUCUAAGGUUUCAUCUACCCUAAUCAAGCUAUCGACCCGACUCGGCCUCAAGUAAAUCAUCUAUGGAGUACCGUGUUAAGUCAGGUUUGAGGUGAAGGACGUCUCACAAGCACCUCAGCCUUAAGUCCACGCGACUAUAGGUCUAUCACAGGGAGAGGAGAACCGUCGAUCCCCGUGACCAUAAGUCGCUCAAGCUCAACGGGCGAGGAGGACCGUCAAACCCAUUCGAGCUCAUACCGGGCGAGGAGAACCGUCGAACCCGUUGAAUCACUACCGAGCGAGAAGAACCGUCAAACCUGUAGUUCUGAUUCACUUGUUUCAUGGCAUACCGGGCGAGGAGAACCGUCGAGCCCGUUGAAUCACUACCGGGCGAGGAGAACCGCCAAACUCGUAAUUCUAAUUCUAUUCUUGCCAACAGCACCAUUCCUAGGGAUUCCGAAACCCACUUUCACAACUUAAGGGUUUAACACUUAUCCUAUGUUGACGACCUUCCUAGGUCUAACUUAAUUUAUUUUUUAGUGGUCCUUCUACCACUACAACCAAUGACUUAGUUCAAAUACACUAAGUGUCACUAUACAUCAUAACCUAGGUUCAAUCACGCUAGGUUCUAUGUCAUUUCACCUAGAUCUCGACACCUAUGUUCAAUGACACUAGGUUCAUGUCCAACCUAUAUUUAAUAACACUAGGUUCAUGCCACUCGAUCUAUGUAUCAUCCUAGUUAUUCUUGCCUAGGAUCAUAGUUCACAUAUUCUCACUUUACACUUUAUAACCGGCGAAUUGUCUAAUCAACCUAGAGUUAUCGACCAAUACUCAAUUCAUGUGAAUCUAGCAUGUUCACAAUAUAUCAAUAUUCAUAUAUGCUCUAGCAUUAACCAUAAAGUAUUCAUAUGCAUAUUUCAACUGUAGGUAACAUUAGUUAAUAUAUCAUAAUUCAUGCAUUCACUUUAUCAUUCAUAACCUACCACUAUAUAUAUAUGCAUCAAUGAAAACCAUACAUUGCUUUGGCAUGGAAGCGACCUAAUCGCUUCGGUGAAGCACAACCCACCUAUAGUUGAUACCGGAAUGUGAGAAAUUCACUUCCCGUACUUUACGGACGACCGCAAUCCUUGCGCGCGACAACUUGAGCUAAAAUGAGGUUUUCCUCACUAGCUUGCCGUAGGCUCGUCGGAAUGUCGAUCCAAGCUUUCCAACGCAUUCGCCUUGCCCUCAAUUAGGUUUGUACGUGAUCAAUUCCAAGCGAGAAUCUCAAUCCUACAAAAGUGCAUUAUUGAGCUUAGGUUUCCAUUUAACCUAUUGUCAACCCUUUUAUACAGGUUCUACAAGAACCUAUAGAGUACUACAAACUCUAACAAUUUAAGGACUUCAACCAAUUACUCUAGGCAUACGAGAGACCAACUUCUAUUACCCCUCAAUCCUAAAGCUUUGCAUCCACCCAAAAGCUCACAGGUUACAUUCACAAUAUAUAGCUUUUCUAUAGGUUUCCAUCGCAAUCGAAGUUCCAAUACCCCAAUGACCUGCAACUAAGGGGUUGAAGAGAUUUACACCAACCCCCUAAUCAAAAUCCUGCAUAAAUCCUGCGUAAAAGUUGGUUGUUUACUCCUAGCUACAAAGGCCAAUACACAACACAUAGCUCACAAGUUAACUAUAUAACCUAUAAUUUACUAUAGGUCCAUCUAUAACUUUUAUAGGUUUAUCCAUGACCACUUCAAACUUUAGAAGCUAAUUGAUCCAUCAUUUAACUUCUCUACACAGCAACAAUGUCAUUCUCAAGUAGAUAGCAAAGUCAUUUCAUCUCAAACUUUAUCCCAAACAACUACUCAUAAUACAUAUAUAUACAUACAUGCAUAUAUAUAUAGUAUAGAGUUAAUUUUUAUAUAGGGUUUAAGGCCCUUAGAGGCUUAACAAUCAAAAUCUGUAGCAUACUCCUUUUUAGAAUGUCAAUAUAUAUUCUUUGACCCAGGAAACAUGCAUACUUCCCAUUAAUUCCAUCUUUGAUUUCUUCUCUAUCCAAUAGUUCACAUAUAUGUCUACAUAUACAUGUAUGUUCUCUCUUUGCAUAGUUUCUAGGUUUUUCUACAUCACAAUACCAGCCUUAAUGGAGCAACUAAUCAAAUUCCAGCUGAGAAUUAAAUUAAUUACCUCAGGCUCGAAGCUUCCAAGGCUGGGUUUCCACUUCGGCAGCUCCAACACGACCAAACCACCAAGCUGCCACUUCUCCAACAAAUUCCCUCGUCUACUUUGCUUCUAGGGUUGAGAGAGAAAGAGAGGGGGAUUUAGAUAAGAAAGAGGUUGUAGGAGAAGGUCCCUGGUACAUAGACAUGUUCAGGCGAACUGGGGUGAAGUAAUAAGGAUAAACAAUUGGACUUUAACCCCUCAAUUCAGCAAAAGUGCACUGCAGUCCUGCUGCAGAUUUCUCAGGCUGGUACCUCACUGAGGUACCCGAGGUACCUCACUGAGGUACCCAGUAUAAAAUUCGCACUUGCAGAUUUCUGACAGCAGCAGCAACAGCAGCCCAUUUCAACACUUCAAUCCACUUCGAGCACCUCUAAUCACUUCCACAAUAUACUAAUGAACCUCCACAAGUCACUAAUUUGGCUCGGAAGCAAUCUAAUUUUAUUUUGGCAUUAUUUUGAUCAAUUUGAUCACAAUUAGCCCGUAGUCGAAAAUUCGACAUAUUACACUCACCUUGAUUUAUUUAAUCAAGGUUAACUCUAUAAUCCGAAAACUCCUUUUACAUUUCGUUUCGCGCCCAAUUUGCGCCGAAACACUCAUUUAUCUCCGGAAUUCAUUCCCACGCAUCCAAAAUUACUCGGGAAUGAUGCACAUUUAAUCCAAACUUCUCUUUGAUCCUUUAGAUCAAAGUUAGCACUACAACUCAAGGUUUCCAUAUAUUACAAUCUCCCCCCGUUAAUCAAAGUUUCGUCCGCAAAACUUAGAUACAAAUCUCUCCUCAUUUCCUCUAGCGGAUGGAGCUAAGUUCCAACAAUCACCAACGAAUAGAAUCAUACCAUUCCAAAGUUUCUCAACUUCACUCCAUACUAUACUGAUUUUUCCAAAUCAGUCUCUACGAACACUUCGUUCGUGUCUCCAAUAUCAACUCAUCAUCAGUGCUCAAUUCAGCAACUCCCACUAGAUCAACAACAGGACCGAGCCUCACUCUUACGGUCCCUACUCACAAUCCAGUAGGAUAGGUCCAAUACACUCACUUUCAGUGUACAUGGGUAAACCGUCCGUCCCAACUACCACAAAUCGGCUCACCAAUCACCGAUCGGACAUAGGUCUAUUACCUAACUCAAUUGCGAUACCACACGACGUCUCUCGCUCGCAAGCGUAGACCCAAUUAUAAUGAGGCAAAGUUCUCAUUGGAAUCUCGCACACCUACUCCAACUAGGAGCAAUUCAAAUCUCUAAACCACGACAACGUUAGGGUUAUGUCAAACUUGCCUUUCCAACGCUACCAAUCACACGAUCCAAUACAUGACAUACCACGUUAUCGAUCCAAACUCGCACUACCGUCCUGACCAAAAUCUCAGCCCUAAACACACAAGUAUCGGCCCGUUGUCACACACAGCUAACUGCGCCUGCCUAAAUGGCUCCUGACUCAGCAGUUCACAAAUGGUCCAGGCACGGAUCAUCACCAAGCAAUAUCCGCAACCGUCGUCUCACACGACACGCUCUACCAAGCACACGUAUUACUAUCGGCUCCUAGGCACCUAGUGUGAGCCACCAGCCCUACGAGUAAUCCCUGGCAUGCUUCAUACUUAGCAACGUUGAAAUGCUACUGUCAACACACUCACUGCUGAAUCAAAUCCGCACCCUACGAGCACCUACACUCGAGCGCUCUACACGUCUCUAUCACGUGCCACACUAAGUCCAACAUGAGGCAAUCUUGCCUAUGCACACUGACUACACGAGCACGACCCACCUACCUCUAUUCGAGGUACUACAAGGCCCACGUGCAUAUACCUGACCACUAACCGAUCAUUUCCUUAACAGUGAUUCUAUUUUCACUGUUCGAUUUACCGGAACAACCUGCAAAAUGCUCGGUCUCACAAGAGUUCCACGAACAUCGCGACUGAACUCUCGCAAUCAGCAACCCGCAUUAGUUUUGAGAGUUGGUCAACCAUUACCAUUUCCAACACGAAUCUCACUUCUUAUCCAUAAACCAUCGCCAGCAAUUUGCUAGCGUCAUCUGGCUCUCUACCUGCUCCAGUAGGUACUACACUUCCACAACAUAAGCACGCCCGGGUAUCUACAUUUACCCGCCCCUUCGAUCUCUACUAUACUAAUGCACAAUUAGUAGUAACAAACUACAUAGUCAAUGCAUGUAGUGCACCAAUCCGUACAUCAUGCAGAAAUACAUGCUUGCUUUAAUUAACUCAUACCUGCCACAUUACAAGCAGUCGCAGCAGGUUUCUCAACAUGGGUCGCGUAGCCAUGGCCACUAGCCGCUCGUCGCGAAUCCCCGGUUGCCUUAUCCUCAUUCACUCUCCAGACCAUGCCGCAGGUGGCACAACCGCAGGUUGUCCCGAAGAGGAAAAAGCCGUCGCCAGUGUAAAGGCUCGGCUAUCACUUUGCGGAUACUCAUCACUUGGGUGAUCCGGUUGUCCACAUCGAGUGCAUUUUCCUUCCCGCUGCACGCAACAUCGUACCCAAUAGGAACCACCACAAAUCACACAUCCUGGUGAGGAUCGGGUAGAGGACGACUUCGAGUGGUGCCUAGAACUUGACUGUCCAUCCAAAUUACUCAGUAGUGGCCUCACUCCUCCUCGUCUACAUUCAUCAGAUUUGCGCUCCUCAAGCACGAAAGCAUUGCCUUGCUCUAUCCACAGAGCCCGAUCGAAGACUUCGGCAAAAGUCUGCAACUUAAAGUUAUGCACAACCUUGAAGAUAUUAGGCCGAAGUCCUCGCACAAAGCAAUCAGCUCGAUCUUUGUCAUCUCGCACCACGUUCGGGACACAAUUCACGAUACGGGUGAAAUCCCGUUCGUACUCCCUUACAGCGCUGUCUCCUUGUCGCAGUUUUCGGAACCUGUCCCGAAGCUUCCUCUUUUCACUAUCGGGGAAAUAAGUUGAACGCAUUAAUUCCCGAAACUCUUCCCAAGCCAUGGGAGGGAGACUAGGCGAUCGAUUCCGUUUAACGCCUUUCCACCACACCCUCGUCGACUGUUGCAGACAACGCACGGCUAGGUGUACCUUGUCCCGCUCCACAACGUACAAAUAAUCUCCAUGGAGUCGAUCCACGACUCCACAGUCCAUGGAUCUACAUCCUCUCUAUCAAAGGUAGGCGGAUCAAACUUCUGGAAGGUCAUGAGAGCCGCCAAAGCGCACUCCUUCUCCGCCUCUACCUCUUAACUAACAGUAGUCGGAUUGCCCGACCCCGACGGAAACGCCUCCGUCGCGACUCCCGGCCGUACUCGACGAGCCGCAACCGGUGCAGUCACCAGCUGAUCUACUGUCUCCUGCAGUCUCUUUAUUCGCUCUUCUUAGCGCAGAGCAGCCUCCUGCUGAUGCUGCACUACAUUCGCAUGUUGCCUCACCACUCCCACGAGUGUGGCCAACUGAUUGCGAAGCUCGAAGCCUCCGCUCGCCUCGGUUUGCUUAGGGACACCACUUGUCCCCUCCCGCGCCGAUCUGGACGAAGAUCGUCUACGCGGUGCCAUCGCCUCCUGAAAUACGAUAACUCAGUCAGUCCUCGACCAUCUGGGUCGAAUACGAAACAAGUAAUACUAACUCAAAUCUGGCGAAAGUCAUACAAGGGAGCCUAUUCUCAUCCCUCGGUUUCAUGUUGUCGUACGCCCAACAUGAACACACUUGGUCAAGAAUAAACCACACCUUCAAUCUACCUCUUACAUCCCUUUUAGAAGUUUACUAAACUUGACCCAAUUGAUUUAUCUUUCGCCACACGUCACAAGUCCUCGUAUCUCACGAGCGUAUGUCCUUAUGGUUUACUAUCCUAGGUCUCCUAGGUCCAACUAAACCGUUAUUACUCUCUUUAUGCUCUGAUACCAUUUGAUCUGCCACGCCCCGAGCUCCGCCUAUUUGGUCGAAUUCGGGCCGCUAACAGACCACCGAAUGGACAGAGCUUUCCCUGUACGUCCUAGGUGUCACAAUCCACACAACGCAAUACACGAUGUUCCAACCAGGAACAGUAUUGAAACACAGAUUGCAUAAGUAUCAAAAAUAUAAAAUGCUACUAUGCUAUUACAAGCAUCCAUCACAAAGAUUUUAUAUUUUACAAUAUUACAAAUACCUUUAAGUUAUUACAACUUAUACAAAUUACUACAAGUUUGUUUCUUUCAUUUAGUACUCUUAGCUAGACCACUUCAGGGUAUUGCUAUCUCGGUCUCAGUGUUAGGGCGCUAUCUACGGAGCUACGCCCUUUCCUCGCGCCGCCGCGCUGCUCGCGUGCGAACCUGAAACCCCAAAACCACGUGGGGUGAGAACUAUAUAAAUAUAGUUUCCAAUGAGUACGGCUACCCAAGGAAAAAGCUCGACCCACGAGGUACAAAGGAGGCACUGUAACAUGUUAGACCAACAGAUAAUCACAAAUAAUUUAUGUAGAUAAUAUUUACAUGUAUGCCUCAAUAUAUGCAAUAUGCAAAUUAUGCGAUUACAUAACAGUAGAUCUACAGAUUCUACUUUCUAUCUCGCUAUCCAUAGCUCAUAUCACACUAGCUUCUAAGGUUUCAUCUACCUUAAUCAAGCUAUCGACCCGACUAGACCUAGAGUCAAUCAUCCGCGAAGUACCUCGUUAAGUCAGGCUUGAGGUGAAGGACGUCUCACAAGCACCUCAGCCUUAAGUACACGCGACUAUAGGUCUAUCACAGGGAGAGGAGAACCAUCGAUCCCCGUGACCAUAAGUCGCUCAAGCUCAACGGGCGAGGAGAACCGUCAAACCCGUUCGAGCUCAUAACGGGCGAGGAGAACCGUCGAACCCGUUGAAUCACUACCGGGCGAGGAGAACCGUCGAACCCGUUGAAUCACUACCGGGCGAGGAGAACCGUCAAACCCGUAGUUCUGAUUCACUUGUUUCAUGGCAUACCGGGCAAGGAGAAACAUCGAGCCCGUUGAAUCACUACCGGGCGAGGAGAACCGUCAAACCCGUAAUUCUAAUUCUAUUCUUGCCAACAGCACCAUUUCUAGGGAUUCCGGAACCCACUUUCACAACUUAAGGGUUUAACACUUACCCUAUGUUGACGACCUUCCUAUGUCUAACUCAAUUUAUUUCCUAGUGGUCCUUCUACCACUAUAACCCAUGACUUAAUUCAAAUACACUAAGUGUCACUAUACAUCAUAACCUAGGUUCAAUCACGCUAGGUUCUAUGUCAUUUCAUCUAGAUCUCGGCACCUAUGUUCAAUGACACUAGGUUCAUGUCCAACCUAUGUUUAAUAACACUAGGUUCAUGCCACUCGAUCUAUGUAUCAUCCUAGUUAUCCUUGCCUUCAUCUUAGUUAUCCUUGCCUAGGAUCAUAGUUCACAUAUUCUCACUUUACACUUUAUAACCGGUGAAUUCUCUAUUCAACCUAGAGUUAUCAACCAAUACUCAAUUCAUGUGAAUUUAGCAUGUUCACAAUAUGUCAAUAUUCAUAUAUGCUCUAGCAUUAACCACAAUGUAUUCGUAUGCAUAUUUCAACGGUAGGUAACAUUAGCUAAUAUAUCAUAAUUGAUGCCUUCACUUUAUCAUUCAUAACCUACCACUAUACAUAUAUGCAUCAAUAAAAACCAUACAUUACUUUGGCAUGGAAGUGACCUAAUCGCUUCGGUGAAGCACAACCCACCUUUAGUUGAUACCGGAAUGUGAGAAAUUCACUUCCCGCACUUUACGGACGACCGCAAUCCUUGCGCGCGACAACUUGAGCUAAUAUGAGGUUUUCCUCACUAGCUUGCCGUAGGCUCAUCGGAAUGUCGAUCCAAGCUUUCCAACGCGUUCGCCUUGCCCUCAAUUAGGUUUGUACGCGAUCAAUUCCAAGCGAGAACCUCAAUCAUACAAAAGUGCAUUAUCGAUCUUAGGUUUCCAUUUAACCUAUUGUCAACCCUUUUAUACAGGUUCUACAAGAACCUAUAGAGUACUACAAACUCUAACAAUUUAAGGACUUCAACCAAUUACUGUAGGCAUACGAGAGACCAACUCCUGUUACCCCUCAAUCCUAAAGCUUCGCAUCCACCCAGAAGCUCACAGGUUACAUUCACAACAUAUAGCUUUUCUAUAGGUUUCCAUCGCAAUUGAAGUUCCAAUACCCCAAGGACCUGCAACUAAGGGGUUGAAGAGAUUUACACCAAUCCCCUAAUCAAAAUCCUGCAUAAAUCCUACGUAAACUUUGGUUGUUUACUCCUAGCUACCAAGGCCAAUACACAACACAUAGCUCACAAGUUAACUAUAUAUCCUAUAGUUUACUAUAGGUCCAUCUAUAGUUUUUAUAGGUUUAUCCAUGACUCACAAGUUAACUAUAUAACCUAAUCAAAUUCCAGCUGAGAAUUAAAUUAAUUACCUCAGGCUCGAAGAUUCCAAGGCUGGGUUUCCACUUCGGCAGCUCCAACACGACCAAAACACCAAGCUGCCACUCUCCAACAAAUUCCCUCCUCUACUUUACUUCUAUGGUUGAGAGAGAAAGAGAGGGGGAUUUAGAUAAAAUAGAGGUUGUAGGAGAAGGUCCCUCGUACGUAGACAUGUUCAGGUGAACUGGGGUGAAGUGAUAAGGAUAAACAAUUGCACUUUAACCCCUCAAUUCAGCAAAAGUGCACUGCAGUCCUGCUGCAGAUUUCUCAGGCUGGUACCUCACUGAGGUACCCGAGGUACCUCACUGAGGUACCCAGUAUAAAAUCCGCACUUGCAGAUUUCUGACAGCAGCAGCAACAGUAGCCCAUUUCAGCACUUCAAUCCACUUCGAGCACCUCUAAUCACUUCCACAAUAUACUAAUGAACCUCCACAAGUCACUAAUUUGGCUCAGAAGCAAUCUAAUUUCAUUUUGGCAUUAUUUUGAUCAAUUUGAUCACAAUUAGCCCGUAGUCGAAAAUUCGACAUAUUACACUCACCUUGAUUUAUUUAAUCAAGGUUAACUCUAUAAUCCGAAAACUCCUUUUACAUUUCGUUUCGCGCCCAAUUUGCGCCGAAACACUCAUUUAUCUCCGGAAUUCAUUCCCACGCAUCCAAAAUUACUCGGGAAUGAUGCACAUUUAAUCCAAACUUCUCUUUGAUCCUUUAGAUCAAAGUUAGCACUACAACUCAAGGUUUCCAUAUAUUACACUUCUGGUGCUGGAUUAAUCCACCAUGGGCCAAAUGUUUUGCAGUUCUACUAUCUAUAGUCUUACGACGGUCCAUUCAGCUUUUUGUUAGUAUCACUGAAAGCUUUGCUUUGUUCUAUGCAUGUCCUACUAGGAAUAUCCAUGCUAAAAGCAUUUUCCGUUGGUAUCCCUGUUUUUGUGUAUAAAUACUCUUGAUCGGGAAUGUUGGGAAUCCGGUACUCGCCCCGGUACCGGAUCUUGUGAAUCCGCAACCCGCUCCGAUACCGACUGCUGUGGAUUCGGUACCGAUUGUUGGGAUUCCGUAACGGAAGCGUCGAAUCGGGUUUUUACCAUAAACCCGUUUCCUCAGCAAAAGCUGAUACAAUCACAAAAGAGAAAAAAAACUAAGACAGAAAAUAUGCGGGUAAAAUAAGAUUCAUUAAAUAAAAGAAGAUUACACCUGACUCCUCUUCUGCAAUUGAGUAGUUACAACCCGAGUCCUCUUUUUGAAUCUCUCCUACCCUUCUCUCGUCUUCUAUACCACAAAGAAGACAAUCCUUCACAUACACCUGUACACUGGGUGCACUCAACUCUUGGCUAUUCUUUCUCACUCUCUCUUUUUCUCUCUGGUACGACACACCCAAAAGACUUUCCCUCUCUUGGCAGUACUACUCCCCUCAAUAGCCUCUAAUGCAUUAUAUAUAAUGCUCAACCAAAGAUGUACUCCUAAUAUAUUUAAGAUUCCGACUUUAAUUAAUAUCUAAAUCUAUCUUAAUUAAUCUCUAAUAGAUUUAAAUAUUAAUCCUAAUCUAGUUAGGUUUAUCCUUUAAUUAAUAUUUAAAUCUUAAUUUAUCUCCAACAGAUUUAAUAUUAAUUCUAAUCCAAUUAGGAUUCAACUACAAAUCUAACCAAAUCCUAACAAUCUCCACCUUGGUUGGAUUUGUAGUCUUCAACUGCCGCGUCGAGCUCACCAUACAAGCUCUAUCUUGAGCUUGUCUCCUCCGCUCGGUGUCGCCGCAUCCGUCGCUUCGCCUCGAGCGACUGCACCUCCGCGAAUUUUUGGAACCCAAACCGUCUUCGCUCCUGUUCUGACUGUGCUCCCGUUCAGAACAUACAAGUUCCCACGCUUGUUCGCCUCGCACAAGACCCGAUCUCAUUUUCGGACCCUCAUAGCUCCACCUGAAGCCAAAAUAUUGCAACCCUUCGAGUCCAACGCGCCUAACGAGAUCAAAUUUCGCCUUAAUCCAGGAACGUGUCGCACACCUGUCAGUGUCCUCACGACCCCAUCGUGCAUUCGGAUCUUCACCGUGCCGACUCCCAAAACUUUGCACGCCAUCCCAUUCCCUAUUAGAGCUUUUCCACCCUUGAUCGCUUUAUAGAUGGCAAAAGACUCCUUCUCCGGGCAUACAUGAAAGGAACACGCCGAAUCGAGCAUCCAUGCGUCAUCCGAAAUUUUCGCACCUCCGGUCGCUGCAUAUAGCAUGUCAGAAUUGAUCAUCUCCAUUUCUACCGCCUGCGCCAUCGCUGUUAUCGCCUCGUCCUGGUUCACGACAGUUUUCUCCUUCUGUUGCUUUAACUCCUUCAGAUCAUUCUGAAAUUCCCGACAGUUGCGCUUAAUACGCCCUUUCCUAUGACAGGAAAAGCACUCCACCGCGGAUAGCGGCUUCUUCUGUCGAUCUCCGAUCGCUGAUGUUGUCGCCUCCUUCUUCGCUCUCACCACCAAAGCUGUAAGGUACCGGACUUCUAAAAUCAUUAAGUUACGGUGUACAUUUGGUUAGAGAGCCAUUUGAAGGGUUCCGGUGAAGUUCGGUGGAAUGUAACAUACCGGAUUUUAAAUAUAAAAGUGAAAAUAAAUAAAAAUAGUGUGAGAUACUAUUUUAUUGGAUUUAGAGAAGUAAAAUAUAAGUCAGNUCUUUACAUCAUAACCUAGGUUCAUUUACACUAGGUUUUAUAUUCUUUCUCCUAGAUCUCAACUCUAGGUUUACUUACUUGACCUAUGUCCAAUGACACUAGGUUAAUGUCCGACCUAUGUUCAAUAACAUUAGGUUCAUUUCAUGUCCAACCUAUGUUUAAUAACACUAGGUUCAUGCCACUCGAUCUAUUCAUUAUCCUAGUUAUCCACGCCUAGGAUUAUAAUUUGCACAUUUUCAUUUACUUUGUUACCGUCCAGAUUUCUACUCAAUUGGAGUUGUCGAUUUAUACCCAAUUCUUAGGGAUUUAACAUGAGGUUCAUAGUUUACAUAUUCUCACUUAUCUUGUUACCAUCGAGAUUUCUAAUCAACUAGAAUUAUCGACAUUCAUAUAGCUUGAACUAUAGUACAUUCACUUUCAUAUAUGUUUAGACAUAGGCAUCAAACUUCCACUUUUAUGUGGAAACAAUUAUGUAGGCUUUAGCAUCUAUGUUCAUAAUUCAUAUUCAGUUUACAUGCCCUUGGCAUUUACAGGUUCAACAUUCAUAUAUCAUAUGUUUGCUCCUAUGAAUUUAGCAUAACCAUGCAUCUAGCUUUCACGUUCAUAUAUCGACAAUUAUAUGUAUCUAGCAUGAUCUACAAUAUAUUCAUAUGCCUCUAGCAUGUUCAUCAUCUGAUUACCAUUAUACAUCAUCUAGCAUUAACCAUAAUGCAUUCAUAUGUUAUUAAUCAUAUAUGCCUACUCAUAUGCAAUUAGCAUUAAUGUUCAUAUGUCGACAAUCAUAUUCAUAUAUGCGUCAAAUGAAACCAUAUUUUACUUUGGCAUGGAAGUGACCUAAUCACUUCGGUAAAGCACAACCCACCUUUACUUGAUACUGGAAUGCGAGAAAUCCGCUUCUCGCACUUUCCCGAGAACCGCGACCCGCGCUCCCGACAAUUGUAGCCGAGAAUGUUCUUUUGGCGAUAUCUUCACGUAGGCUCGACGGAUUG
This 16023-nucleotide long non-coding RNA is filed under the name Ananas comosus (pineapple). Its description in RNAcentral is "long non-coding RNA (ACOM_LNC011965)". The record is from RNAcentral. Lineage: Eukaryota; Viridiplantae; Streptophyta; Magnoliopsida; Poales; Bromeliaceae.